Non-coding RNA from Myotis lucifugus (little brown bat), 74 nucleotides. NCBI's taxonomy places the organism in Eukaryota, Metazoa, Chordata, Mammalia, Chiroptera, Vespertilionidae. The record is from Rfam.
GGUGGUUCUCGGGUGACGUACCCUGGAAUCAGGCUCCCUCCUCUCUGGUUCCAGUGCAUCACCCGAGAACCACA